UCUAUACAUGCAAGUCGAACGAGAAUUGGAGUUUGCUACCAGGAAAGUGGCGGACGGGUGAGUAAUACAUAGGGAAUCUGCCCUUAGCCGGGGGACAACAGUUGGAAACGACUGCUAAUACCGCAUAUGAGUAUGGUUGAGAUACUAUACUUGAAAAACUCCGGUGGCUAAGGAUGAGCCUGUGCCUGAUUAGUUAGUUGGCGGGGUAAAGGCCCACCAAGGCGACGAUCAGUAGCUGGUUUGAGAGGAUGAUCAGCCACAAUGGGACUGAGACACGGCCCAUACUCCUACGGGAGGCAGCAGUAGGGAAUUUUGCGCAAUGGGCGAAAGCCUGAACCGCAGCAACGCCGCGUGUGUGAUGAAGCCCCUAGGGGUGUAAAACACUGUCAGUGGGGACGAAAGAUGACGGUACCCACAGAGGAAGCACCGGCUAACUCCGUGCCAGCCGCCGC
This 452-nucleotide ribosomal RNA is filed under the name uncultured bacterium. Its description in RNAcentral is "bacterial SSU rRNA". It matches the Rfam family "Bacterial small subunit ribosomal RNA", at positions 48 to 518 of the family's 1533-position model. The record is from RNAcentral.